ACGGGAGGCAGCAGUGGGGAAUCUUGCGCAAUGGGCGAAAGCCUGACGCAGCGACGCCGCGUGGGGGAAGAAGGCCUUCGGGUUGUAAACCUCUUUCAGGAGGGACGAAGCCACUCGGGUGAAUAGCCCAGAGGGUGACGGUACCUCCAGAAGAAGCCCCGGCUAACUACGUGCCAGCAGCCGCGGUAAUACGUAGGGGGCGAGCGUUGUCCGGAUUUAUUGGGCGUAAAGAGCGUGUAGGCGGCCAGGUAGGUCUGGUGUGAAAACUCGAGGCUUAACCUCGAGAUGUCAUCGGAAACCAUCUGGCUAGAGUCCGGAAGAGGAAAGUGGAAUUCCUGGUGUAGCGGUGAAAUGCGCAGAUAUCAGGAAGAACACCAAUGGCGAAAGCAGCUUUCUGGGACGGUACUGACGCUGAGACGCGAAAGCGUGGGGAGCGAACAGGAUUAGAUACCCUGGUA
This 458-nucleotide ribosomal RNA is filed under the name uncultured Gaiellales bacterium. Its description in RNAcentral is "bacterial SSU rRNA". It matches the Rfam family "Bacterial small subunit ribosomal RNA", at positions 341 to 792 of the family's 1533-position model. Lineage: Bacteria; Bacillati; Actinomycetota; Thermoleophilia; Gaiellales. The record is from RNAcentral.